UUAUUGGGUCUAAAACAUCCGUAGCUUGCUUAGUAAGUUCUUUGUGAAAUCUCUCAUCCUAAGUGGGAGGCGUGCGGAGAAUACUGCUGAGCUAGAGACUGGAAGACGUAAAGAGUACAUUCAAGGUAACGGUUAAAUGUGUUAAUCUUGGGUGGACUAACAAUAGCGAAGGCACUUUACGAGGACAGUUCUGACAGUAAGGGAUGAAGGCCAGGGGCGCAAAACGGAUUAGAUACCCGUGUAGUCCUGGCAGUAAACACUGCACACUAAACAUCAGUACCUCCUCAAGAGGUAUUGGUGCUGCAGGGAAGCCGAAGAGUGUGCUACCUGGGAAGUAUAGUCGCAAGGCCGAAACUUAAAGGAAUUGGCGGGGAGACACUACAACGGGUGACGCGUGCGGUUCAAUUAGAUUCAACACCGUGAACCUCACCAGGAGCGACAGCAGAAUGAAGGUCAGUCUGAAGGGCUUACCUGACACGCUGAGAGGAGUCGCAAGUCCGACGUCAGCCUGUGCCGUGAGGUGACCUGUUAAAUCAGGUAACAGGCAAGACCCACAUGUCUAUUUACAAUGUACUAUAGACAGAUUGCCUUGGUAACAAGGAUGAGAGUAUGGGCCACGUUAGGUUAUUUCAGCCCGAAUCCCCUGGGCAACACGCGCGCGGCAAUGCUAGAUACAACGAGAUGCAACACCGAAAGGUGGAGCUAAUCUCCUAAAGUCUAGCCUAGUUCAAAUUGAGGUUUGUAACUCAGCCUCAUGACGAUGGAAU
Molecule: ribosomal RNA, 767 nt
Filed under: uncultured euryarchaeote
Lineage: Archaea; Methanobacteriati; Methanobacteriota
Description: bacterial SSU rRNA
Rfam family: Archaeal small subunit ribosomal RNA
Source: RNAcentral